GGGUCCACAAGAACCAGAAGUCGCAUUAAUGGGAGUGAGCACUGUGACCUGACCUGCACACUCCGGCUGAACACAGCUCUGCGCUACAAUGUAAACAAACACCAUGUGAACCAGCAACAUUGUAAACAACACGGAUCAACAUAAACAUUCAACAGCGGCUCAGAGGUCUCAGAGAAACAGAUUUUCUGAAGAAAUGAGGCGUUGUGCCUUUAAAAGGAAAGCUCCCUCUGACUGGAAAAACCUGCCCGGUCCCACUCCCUCACAUCUCUUCUCAUCGUCUUUAAUCAUCACUUUUCAUCUUCAGAACCACGUUCUACCAUUAAAACUCUAUAGGUGUCAUUUGUGUUAAUGUUUAUUUAUGUAUACUGAAUAUUCUUGUGACUUCAUUCUAACGUUUUGUGUUUUCUGUGUGAAGAAGAAGGUUGUAUAUCUGAAAAGAAACGUUUUUAUCCCUU
Long non-coding RNA from Solea senegalensis (Senegalese sole), 455 nucleotides. RefSeq lists it as uncharacterized. NCBI's taxonomy places the organism in Eukaryota, Metazoa, Chordata, Actinopteri, Pleuronectiformes, Soleidae. The transcript has 3 exons. The record is from RefSeq and is a predicted model, not a curated record.